GUCCUCGCUUAGGCAGCACAUAUAGUAAAAAGUUGGAAUGAUACAGAGAUUAGCAUUGCCCCUGCACAAGGAUGACACGCAAAUUCAUGAAGCCUUUCAUAUUUUU
RNAcentral lists this small nuclear RNA (106 nucleotides) under Sus scrofa (pig). Lineage: Eukaryota; Metazoa; Chordata; Mammalia; Artiodactyla; Suidae. The record is from RNAcentral.